Molecule: ribosomal RNA, 449 nt
Filed under: uncultured bacterium
Lineage: Bacteria
Description: partial 16S ribosomal RNA
Rfam family: Bacterial small subunit ribosomal RNA
Source: RNAcentral
AGCGAACGCUGGCGGCAGGCCUAACACAUGCAAGUCGAACGAGCUCUUCGGAGUUAGUGGCGGACGGGUGAGUAACACGUGGGAACGUGCCUUUAGGUUCGGAAUAACUCAGGGAAACUUGUGCUAAUACCGAAUGUGCCCUUCGGGGGAAAGAUUUAUCGCCUUUAGAGCGGCCCGCGUCUGAUUAGCUAGUUGGUGAGGUAAAGGCUCACCAAGGCGACGAUCAGUAGCUGGUCUGAGAGGAUGAUCAGCCACAUUGGGACUGAGACACGGCCCAAACUCCUACGGGAGGCAGCAGUGGGGAAUCUUGCGCAAUGGGCGAAAGCCUGACGCAGCCAUGCCGCGUGAAUGAUGAAGGUCUUAGGAUUGUAAAAUUCUUUCGCCGGGGACGAUAAUGACGGUACCCGGAGAAGAAGCCCCGGCUAACUUCGUGCCAGCCGCCGCAGUAA